RNAcentral lists this ribosomal RNA (494 nucleotides) under uncultured bacterium. Its description in RNAcentral is "partial 16S ribosomal RNA". It matches the Rfam family "Bacterial small subunit ribosomal RNA", at positions 28 to 507 of the family's 1533-position model. The record is from RNAcentral.
GACGAACGCUGGCGGCGUGCUUAACACAUGCAAGUCGAACGGAAAGGCCUGCUUUCCCUUGUGGAUUGCGGGUACUCGAGUGGCGAACGGGUGAGUAACACGUGAGUGAUCUGCCCCCAACUUGGGUAUAAGCCUGGGAAACUGGGUCUAAUUCCCGAUAGGACUGCAGGGUGGUGCCUGUGGUGGAAAACGAUUUUCUAGUGGUUGGGGAUGAGCUCGCGGCCUAUCAGCUUGUUGGUGGGGUAAUGGCCUACCAAGGCGGCGACGGGUAGCCGGCCUGAGAGGGUGGACGGCCACAUUGGGACUGGGAUACGGCCCAGACUCCUACGGGAGGCAGGAGUGGGGAAUAUUGCACAAUGGGCGGAAGCCUGAUGCAGCGACGCCGCGUGGGGGAUGACGGCCUUCGGGUUGUAAACUCCUUUCGACCGCGAGGAAGCCACCUGGUUGGAAGGGUGGUGACGGUAGUGGUAGAAGAAGCACCGGCUAACUACGUG